This 768-nucleotide ribosomal RNA is filed under the name Triticum aestivum (bread wheat). Its description in RNAcentral is "partial small subunit ribosomal RNA". Lineage: Eukaryota; Viridiplantae; Streptophyta; Magnoliopsida; Poales; Poaceae. The record is from RNAcentral.
AUGCAACUGCUAGAUUUUGGUGUCUGCAUGAAUUUGGUAUUUUCCUGUGGUGAUCUUAUCAACUUGCGGCAUGUAUGCAGCGGUCCUGGAUUGCAAUUUUCAAACAUCGGUAGGCUUGUCUCACUCCAAACAAUCCCAGCAUUCAAAGUAAGUCAUGAACAAGGACAUGAGGCAAAGCAGUUGAGGUACCUAAACAGGCUCAGCGGCGAACUGAGUAUAUAUGGUCUCCAAAGUGUUGAAAGCAGAGAGGAAGCUCUUGCAUUCGAUCUAGCUGCCAAGAAACGGCUCGCAGAACUAACACUAUCAUUCGGUGGAAGUUCAGAAGUUGCAGCAGAGGUACUUGAGGGCCUUUGUCCUCCCGUGGGGCUUGUAACACUCGACAUCCGUGACUACGAUGGUUUGGUAUACCCAAAGUGGAUGGUGGGCAGGCAAAAUGGCGCACCAGAGAAGCUGCAACAACUUGGUCUCUCAGGAUGGAGCCAGCCAGGACCUGCUCCUGCACUGAAGGCUUUCAAUCAUCUUCGUUGCCUCAAUCUGAUGCACUGCAGCUGGAACGCCUUGCCAUGCAAUAUGGAGCACCUCAGCUCGCUCGAAACAGUAAUCAUUAUUAAAUGUUUGAAUAUCCGGUCGCUUCCAACGCUGCCACAGUCUCUUACGUAUUUUUGGCUCCUGAAGUGCGACGAUGGGUUCAUGGAGUCUUGUCAAACAGUUGGACAUCCAAACUGGAAAAAGAUUCAACACAUCUGCAGGAAAUAUUUUAGUGAAUGA